ACCCUUUACCUAUUUCUCAAACAUGACUUAUUAUUAAAUAAAACCGAAAUAUGAAUAUGGAGAUGAAGAGGAAAUUUGACUCUCAGUGGCUGGGUGUCACCAGCCCACAUCUCAGUGGUGUCAUUGAGUGUACCCUUCUUCUUUCCCUCAAGUUAGUGGAUAUUUACACUUCUGGGGGGGAGGAUAAAGUGGUUCACCUGAGGGCAAAACCUUUAUUGCAGGUCCUGUCGCCUGUUUACAGACAUUAUUGAAAUGCUACUGUGGGAUGUUUGCCAUAAAUAAGUCUGUCAUCCAUCUGUCGUAGUAACUAGCACAUUGCUAGUAAAGUAUAGAAUACUAGCAGCCUUGUAUCUGGAAUUGCUUGAGAAUUUUA
Non-coding RNA from Podarcis lilfordi (Lilford's wall lizard), 373 nucleotides. NCBI's taxonomy places the organism in Eukaryota, Metazoa, Chordata, Lepidosauria, Squamata, Lacertidae. The record is from the annotation of a GenBank genome assembly.